Molecule: non-coding RNA, 30856 nt
Organism: Pelobates cultripes (western spadefoot toad)
Lineage: Eukaryota; Metazoa; Chordata; Amphibia; Anura; Pelobatidae
Source: the annotation of a GenBank genome assembly
CACAGAGAUGAAUGGGGGUCUACGUGGUGUAUUCGGGUGGGUACCAUAUACAAUCAGUACAGCAUCUUUCUCUGUUGGUCUAGUAGUGUGGCAGAUCUAAUUAGUUUCUUAGGUGUAUUUAUUAUUGUUUCCAAUUGUUCUCUGGUAAUGUUACUCUGUAGGUCCUGGAACCAUUGCUCAGCCGGUUUUAAGUCUGCAAAAUUAAUCGAGGACCGGAGCAGCCGGUAACACCAGGAGAUUGGUUUACAUUUAAGUGGGAGCACAUCCCUGAUAGCCAUCUGUUCCCAUCCCAUCACCGUCUGAGGGGUCCCCUCUUGGGAGGGGUAUUGGUCGGUUGUACUUAUGUAAGAACGAUUUUAAUUGUGUAUAAAAGAGUAUUGUGAUGCUAGGGGUAAUUGGUAUGUGGACUGAAGGGCGGCAAAGUCCAUUAAUUUGUUGUGUUUGUAUAUGUGCGAUAUGUGUGUGACCCCCCCUUGUCUAUCCACGGUUUAGCGUUUAAAGUCUGGUAUACAGUAGGUGAUUGCUUUUAUCGGCAUUGCCAUAGACCGGGAAGUGGAGCUUUCCAGUUUUCCAGUCAUGUCCCAAAUCCUCACCAUCAGCUAAACCUGGUCUGGGAGUUGCAGCCUGUGUGGUUUAAAUUUCUGGGUAACCAUAGUAUGAUGGGCAGGUCAAAGGGCGCCAUAGCCGGUCUUUCCAGCCAUACCCAUUGUAGUGGGUGUGUUAAGGAGGUGGGGCAGAGUCGAUGCUAGUACUGUGGCCUGAUAGUUUGCUUUGAUGUCUGGGAAGGCUAGGCACCCCUGUUUCGUUGGGCCUGCAUCAACCUCCUCGAGAUUCUAGUUCUAACCCCACCCCACACAAACCUCGACAUCUCUUUCUGAAUUGUAUGCAGAUGCAAAAGUGGUACUCGAAGUGGGAGUGUGCGAAAAAGGUAUUGGAGCCUAGGUAGGAUGGCCGUUUUGAGUGACAAUUCUCUCAGUCCAGGUCAAGACUGCGUUUUUGGUAAAGGUCAGGACUGGAUAUUUGAGGUUGCCCGUCCUCCACUCGAAGAGGUAGUCCCUCUUGAGAUUAGCUAAAUCCUGGGGGGUAAGCCUUAUUCUUAGUGCUUGGGUUUUGCUGGUGUUGAGUGAGUAGUAAGACAUUGUAGCGGAGUAGCAGGGGUUAAUCCAAUAGCUCUCCGCUGGGAACAAAGAUUCAGCAUACAAAAUCACAGGAACACAGCAUAAUCCACCUCCCCAAGGACUAGACGACACAUAGUCUGGGAGUCAACUGCUAGCUUUAUUCACAGGUCUGCUUUUAUGCAUUUCUCCCAUGCAAGGGAGGUAACUACUCAUAAUUACUACAGUAACCAAUCAUACCGUGGUCACCUCCCAUCCCUCUCCUCCCCUUAGAUUAACACAUAACAAGAUUAAUAUGUACACAGUUUUCCCCAAUUUGUGGAUGUCCCCUAAAUACAGGGGGUACAGGGUUGAAUAAGGGGUCCCCUGGUAGCCCUGAUCUAGGUGAGCAACAUACUCAAAAUUCACCCAGAUCGGACCAGGGGUUCGGGAGUUACAGACUGUUAAAGAUUUGACCGACCGCACGGGCUCAGUAGCCGAAAACAGUUCCAUGAAUUCUGGCCCUGCGGUCGGUCUUUUCUAGUGAAUCAAAAGUCCCAAACGGCUGGGGCAUCCAGGCUUCCUUUACCGUUCGAAUGAAUCCCCUCGUUCGUGGGAUUCCACAUACCGAAUGCCGAGGUGUUCGUGUGUUUGCUUUGUGAUUUUUGAGCCUGCUGGAGGUCUUAGCGGUACUUGGUUAGUCGAAUGCCCGGUUUGAGUUCCAGGCGUUCGACCAAGUACCGCUGUUCGUGCGUAAGAUGGCCGCCGCCACGUGUUCGGUAGGCAAAAUGGCGGCCACACACUUCACAACAUUGUAUCUUUGGUUAAUAGGAGACACACGACCACCGCGGGGUGGUCUCUCGUUCGGUAGUUUCAGGGCAUUCGCAUGAAUAACAGCAUGAAUAACAGUAUAGUCCGUUCGUGAAUUGAGUCUCUGCCUUUGCACACAUUCGCUUAUAAUAACUCCAGUGUUCAUUCGCACAGAACAGUUAGUAUUUUAGUGGCAGGGUUUGCCACAGACAUGUCCCCAUAUUCCUUUAUUAGUUGCAGUAUAUGCUGCGAUGAUUCCUCAGGUCGGGAGAAAUAUAGGAGAAUAUCAACCGCGAAUGCGCUUAUUUUAAGUUUGCAACAGUUUAGGUCUAUUCCGUGGAUUUCCAUGUGUUGUCUAAUUGUGCAUAAAGGACGUUCCAGGGCCAGAACAUAUAUCGUGGCGAGAGAGGACAGCUUUGUCUUGUGCAAUUUGUAAUAGGGAAUGAUUCGAGAGGAAACCCAAUUGCAAUACUCGAGCAGUUGAGACGGAAUAUAGUGCUAAGAUUUUGAGCAGGAACUCGGAGGGGAAUCCGUACUUUGUUAAAGCCUGUUCUAGGAAGGCCCAGCUGAGGCGGUCAAACGCUUUUUCAGCGUCCAGGGCUAAUAGGAGUCCGCCUCAGCCAGCUCCCUUAAGUCGUUCCAUUACCAGCGAUAAUUUGCCAGUAUUAUCUUGACCAUGUCUCCCUGCUACAAAACCUGUUUGGUCAUCUUUAAUUAUGGACUGGAGAAUAGGGAUAAGUCUGUUAGCGAGAACUUUCACAUAGAUCUUCGCAUUAGUAUUUAGCAGAGAAAUGGGUUUGUCAGGUUUUGGCAAUGUUACUAUGGUAGUGAGCAGCAUUUCCGAUGGGAAUGUGCCGGUCUCUAGCGCUGAAUGAUAUACUUUAAGUAAAAUAUACUUGCACAUUUUUUAUAAUACGCGUUGGGAAGGCAAUCUGCUCCGCAGGAUUUUGAUUGUCUUGAGGACUUAGUCUAUCGUGAUUUGCUGGAGCCGGGAGUCUACUUGGGCCUGAGCAAUUUUGGGGAGGUUUAUCUAGUUAUCCCUUUAUGCGUUCUGCUUCCUUGUACCCAGAUUACAACUUUUUUAGAGAAAUUGCAAAUUAUUGGGCAAUGUCAGUUGGGUUUCUUUUUCCUACCAUCUUCACCAGUCAGGUGGGGGAUUCUGGAAGAUGCCAAUUGUGCUCGGAGUCGAGCAGUCAGAAAACGGGAUGCUUUCCCGCUAGUAUGGUAUGUGGUGGCUAGUAGUUUAUGCAAAAAAUAUUUGGUUUUUGUGGGCAUUGAGUUCAGUAAGUAUGUGGAGUUUAUUGGCUACCUCAGGGGAGGGCAACUGUUUGUUUUGGGCCGUAAGUAGCACUAUUUGUUUAUGGCAGCCCAGUAAACUGGAUUGUUGGGUGUGUUUAAGGUAUGCAGACCGUCUGAUGAACCUACUCCUUACCACUGCCUUGUGGGCAGACCACACUUUUAGGUCUGAAGUUUCCCCAUUGGCAUUGAUGUUGAAAUAGCUACUGAGUUCCUCCCUCACCUGGUCUGCAAAAGUUUUAUCUUGUAGCAGAGAUUCGUUGACCCUCCAUGUUCCUUUUCCUUUAAAUUUGUACUUAUCAAACGGUCUAGGAAUACGGUCUGACCACGUUAUGUCCCCCAGUUUGCUGGCGCUAAUUGUGCUAGUGUGUUAUUGUCGAAUGUGUCUAUGCAGGUAUAGGUAUUGUGGACCCUGUAAUAGAAGGAGUAGUCCCUCUCUUUGGGGUGAAGGACUCUCCAACCAUCGUGGAGAUUGUGAAAGGUCAUCGUGUGGGUUAGUGAUUUACAGAGUGCCUGUAAGCUUUUUUUUUCUCUUGCCUGUCGGCGUAGCCGUAGUGUCUAAGGUAGGGGAUUGGAUAAAAUUUAAAUUGCCCCCCAGAAGCAGGCCCCCUAGUUUAUAUUCAUCAAUUUUUAGCAAUAGGUUCCUAAGAAAGGCAGUGGUGUUUGUAUUUGGGAAGUACACCGACACUAGGGUGGAUGGUAUGCCAUUGAAAAUGCCCACCAGGAAGAUGAGUCUUGCAGUGUAAAGGCUACGUUUCUAUGUUUAAAUAUGGAUACCCCUUUCAUCUUGGAUUCUGAGAGGGUGUGGUACUGAAUCGGGAAUACCUUGUUAAAAAUGGCUGGUAUCCUGGGUGUUUUGAAAUGCAUUUCUUGGAUAUAUGCAAUGUCCAUCACGAGUUUAAGAUCCUGGAGGAGGAGCCUCCUCCAACGUGGGGAGUUUAGCCCCUUAACAUUAUAGGACACUAUUCUCAUUACUGGGUAUGUUUAAUGUGGUCUGCUUAUGAUAUAAGCGUCUGGUAUUUGGUAGCGUAGUGGAGCAGGUUGUAAACACAUAGCUUGGGGUGCGUCUCUCACAGCGGUUGUGACUCUCCCGGGGGUAAGGAGUGGGGUCAGGGCUUAGGUAGGUGUAGGGCAGAUGACACUUGGAUAUAGGGGUAGAACAGAGGGGUAUUGAACCCUAUCCGGCUCACAGGUGUUGAGCCUGGUUGCGCUGACAGAUUCGAGCGCCUCUCAUGUGGGCCGUGGUCAUGACAUCCCUUGACAUAGAGAAUUCCUCCCUAUUGACAGUAUACAGGAGCAUUAUGUGUGGUGCAGAAUUAUCUACAAACAGGCAGUAAAGUAGUUCCCUCCAUGAUUGUUACUUUAGAAACGCACUGAUUCCCAUUGCCUUGCAGAUUAAGUGAUAGGCUGUGUGUGCGUCCUGAGUCAGCUUAGUGGGCAGAGUCUACAUCUAGCCCUAACUCAGAAAUCUCAGGGCCUUUGGUAUUUAGGUUACCUCAGAUAAGUGGUCUCUGUCAUAUUUGGGUCUUGUCAUGGAACAUAUCAUAAGUAAACUGUUAACUUAACCAUUAACUAAAUAUCAGUAGUCCAUAGCGACUCCAUCAUAGUUAUAAGAGUGUCUUGCAUACUCUCUGUGAAGAAAUCCCUCUCUAUGCACCCUAGUUCUCCCUUAUUCAUUCAGUAGAUCUUACUACCGAACAAAGACCACCCCCCGGCUCAUUAAGCUUCAAAGCAUUUGUCAAUUGACCCCUCUAUCUGUGUGGCCAGCGUUCGUACUACCGAAUGCCACGAGGCUGAGAAAACUGCAGCCAUCUUUUUUCAGUCGAAUUUUGUGCAUUCAAUUGAGGGGAACAAUCGUUGCUGAGAGCCAGGGGAAUCCAUUCGGAAUUUUAUUCGUUUUUUUUUACCCCUUUACUGAAGUGACCGGCAAAACCACCCAAACUCCUGGAACUCUUUUGGGCAGCCAGCCCACGGUUAGCCGGUCACAGAAGACUUCCACCUUUUUUGAGAACCCCUGAACCGAUCUGGGUGAAAUUUCAAUAUGUUGGUCACUCAGAUCGGGGCUAUCAGGGGACAUAUUUGUGGGAAUACCUCAUGUAUAAAGGGGUGUUUCAAAUAUUGGGGAAAAUUGUGAUUUUUCUGCCUGGAGAUAAUCAAGUUAUUACUUUAUCAGACCUGAUUAUCUCCAGGACUAGGGGAGGAAAUUGUAUGUGUGUACUGGGUGUAUUUUAUGAUUUUACUGUAACGGAUUGGUUAAACUGUGUCCCUCCCUGUGGGAUGUCCCCUUGCAUGGGGACUUGCAUAAAAGCCUGUGUGUGGUAAUUAAAGGCAGUUCUGUUGUACCCUUCUUCUUGACGUCGGCUGAUGUUUGGGGAUUUGUGUGCUUUAUUAAGGGAAUUAUCUUAUAAAGCUAUUUGUAUUACUAUACAUUUAGUCUAUUUCAACUACCGAACGGAGAGCUAUACUCACUGAUGCUCUGGCGGUUCGGGAGGAAACUACCGAAUGAGGAUUACAUAUACCCGGUUUCCUUACAACUGGUGACAGCAGUGGGAUUAAAAUCCCAAAUGGACGUCCUGAACCAAGCAAGGGAAUGAAUGGCUCAGCAAUACUAGCUACUUAAGACUACACUAAAAGAUUUACUGGAAGCUCAAGGCGUAGUGGCAAGUAACAAGACAAAAGCCAUGUUAAUUGUAGAGUUAAUACAGAGCAACGGAACCAGCAAUACAGAGAUGGAGCAUGAGGAAGAAACCGAGAUGCAGAAGGAUAUCAGAUGGAUGCUCAGUGUAUUGGGACCGAAUACAUCAUCAGAGGCGGUUUUGCAGAUCAUGGCACAAGCCAGGCAAUCGCAAAAAGAGCGAGAGGACAGAGACAGACCGUUUGCUACACUCCCCGGGAAGUAUAAAUGACCUACCAAAGAAGGUAAACUAUGCAGCGUUUAAAAUGUUUAAAGACAAUGACAUGGAAAUUGACAGUUAUUUGCAAGACUUUGAACGUCAAUGUGCGCUGGAGGGAUUAGACUGCACAAAAUGGGCUGCAGUAAAUAGCAGCAAGCUGUCAGGAGAAGCAGCAGAGGCGUUACGAGCAGUACCUGAUGAGGACAUACACAAUUAUGACAAAGUAAAAGACAUUUUGGUGGCCAGAUACACUGUGACCCCAGAGGCGUACAGGAAAAAGUUUCGGGAACUUCGGAAGACAAGGAGAGAUUCACAUACUGAAUGGGCUUUUCGGCUACACGUCCCCAACCAAGAACAACAGUGGAGUGUUCUACAUGAGGUCAACCCAGUACAAAAAGGAGGCGACAACUGGGACCACCACCGUCAAUGGAUUACAGUGGAUGGCGUGGGGGCCCAAGCUAUGAGAGACUCUGGGGCCACUCUAACCGUGGUACAACCACACACGGUCAAGGCUCAAACUCGCACCAGUCGCACAGUAGCCUUAAGGGUAGCUGGGGGUGCCAUACACAAGCUACCUACAGCCAACGUCCUUGUCGACUGGGGUUCUGGGUCCAAACAGUUGGAGGUGGCAUUAUGCAGGAACUGCCGGCAGAGGUCUUAUUGGGAAAUGACGUAGGCUGUUUAACCUCCCAACUAGCACGGGACACCACUUCGGAAGCCUACCCGGUUACCACCCGAGCCCAAGCCGGACUGGAAGGAAAACCCGAGCCCAAGUGCACUGGAAGGCUGCACUCUGAGGAAAACAAGGUAGGAGUUGACAUACCCCCUUUGCCCGAUCCCCCUUCCACCUUCUGGGAUACACCACGGGGUUUUGAACAUCGAACAGACCCCACACUAGAAGGGUAUAGAAAGGCCGUAGAGGUCACUCGGGGGGACAGCACCCACGAAAAGUUUGAAUGGUAUAAGGGAUUGUUGUACCGAGUGACAGGAGGGGUGGUACACGGGGCCACUCAAGUCACUAAAAGACAACUUGUACCCUGUAAGUUUCAUACUGAGUUAUUAAAACUCAGUCAUGACAUUCCCCUAGCAGGACAUGUAGGGGUUAAGAAGACGAGGGACUGGUUGACCCAAACGUUCUUCUGGCCUAGGAUCACGCAAGAUCUUAAAUAAUAUUGUAGAACGUGUGAUAAAUGUCAAAGAAUAGGGAAGAGAGGUGACCACCAAAAAGCCAAACUCCACCCUUUACCCAUUAUAAAAGAGCCGUUUCACCGAGUAGCGGUGGACUUAAUAGGACCUCUCAGCCGACCCAGUCAGUCCGGCAAGAAGUUCAUCCUAACCAUAGUGGACUACGCCACUAGAUACCCGGAAGCGGCAGCCCUCGCGAACAUAGAGGCAGAGACCAUGGCAGAGGCCCUAGUUAAAAUAUUCUCCCGGGUAGGUUUUCCCCAGGAGAUCCUGUCCGAUCGGAGCACUCAGUUCACAGCAAUCCUGACACAGCAAUUGUGGCAGAGCUGCAGAGUAAAAUCUCUAUUCAGCGCCCCCUAUCACCUCCAGAUCAAUGGGCCAUGUGAACGUUUUAAUGGUACGCUUAAGAAGAUGCUAAAGACCUUCGCAGAGACCUUCGCAAAAGAACAGUUAUCUUUUUUCUAUGUGUUAUUUUUUGGAUGGUAUCAGUUUCGGUAUCCGUUUCGAUUAUAGCAGAUUGGUAAAUAUUCUAUUUGCCAUUUGUUACAUAUGUUCCUAGUGGGAGUUCUAUUUAAUCAGUUUUGUUUUAUUUUAUUUUGCUCCUAUCUCAUUAUAUUCACCCUUUACUCUACACACAUAUGUUUUCUGGUACUGCCGUUUUGGACAUUUCUUAUUAAGCUAGGCAGUUCCUUAAAGGGAACAUAUGAUGUGUUGUGUGUUUUUUUUGUUUGCUUUUUUGUUUUUUGAUUUCAUAAUAAAGUAUGUUCAAGAUUUUUAACUUUGUAUAGUUUAUUUAUCAUAUGUUAUUCUGGAUGGUGUUGGAACAGAUUUUUGUUUUUCUCUUUCAGUAUUAUUAUCUAGGGUUACCCCCUUAUCUGUUCCUAACUUAUAUCAAGACAUUUAUUGAAUUAAACCUUUUUGCCAUUUAUUCAUUUUUAUAGUUUAAUACUCAAUUAUAUAUUAAUUAUUAUAAUUUUUUACAGUUGUGGCAAAUGCGCCGCAAAAAUAAAUAAAAAAUCACAGUAUACCAAAAGAUGGCAAGAGGCUACAGGAACCAAUUUCCAGGGAAGUUCAAUGGAUUUAUAUAAAACCUCUUAAAUUUGGUUUAAAUAAAGAUAUUAAUUUAAAGGGUUUAAUUUGGUUUUCUUGUUGCUUUGUCACAUUAUCUGCCACAUGUUUUUUUUUGUUUUUUUUAUUAGACUACCAUUUAGGAGAAAUAAUUCCUGCCACCAAUUUUCUAGCAUAUAUAUCUAUUUAUUUAUUUUUUAUUUUAUUUUUUUUAAGAUACUGUGUGAACAGACCACUCAGCUGUGAUUGUAGAUAUUGAAAUAGAUAUGAACAAUAAAACACGGGGGGAAAUUAGAGAUUAAAUGAGAUUGUUGUCAGACGGUGGAUAUUAUGAAUAUUUAUAUGAUGAGUGUGGCAAACCCUGCCACUUGGACUAAUUAUUCUGUGUGAAUAGGUGUAAUUCACCAAGGGAAUAACCACACGAAUUGACUUUAAUAGUAUUGUAAUGUUUUUAUUCGAAUGUAUGAAACUACCGAACGGAAGACCACCCCGGGGUCGUCGUUUGUUCCCCAUUAACAGAGUGAUACAUUGUUGCGAAGGGAAUUAAGUACCUGUAUGUGUGGCCGCCAUUUCGCCAACCGAACACGUGACAACCAAGUACCGCACAAACAGCGGUACUUGGUUGUCGAACGCCUGGAACUCAAACCGGGCAUUCGACUAACCAAGCACCGCUAAGACUUCCAGCGUGCUCCGACAAUACGAAUCUAACACACGAACGCCCCGGCGUUCAGUAGAUAAAUUCCCCUAAAUGAGGGGAAUCAUACGAAUGGUAGCAAUCGCAUGGAUGGCUAACCGUUCGGUAUUUGUGGUUCACUGAAAUAGACCGACCGCAGGGCCAGAAUGCAUGGAACUGUUUUCAGCUACUGAGUCCCUGCGGUCAGUCAAAUCUUUAACAGGCUGUAACUCCCGAACCCCUGGUCCGAUCUGGGUGAAUUUCAAGUAUGUUGCUCACCCAGAUCAGACCUACCAGAGGACCCCUUAUUUGUCCCGGUACCCCAUGUAUUUAGGGGACAUCAAGAAAGUGGGGAAAACUCUGUCCCCACUAAUCUGUUUAACUGUUAAUCUAAGGGGAGGAGAGUGAGGGGAGGUGACCGGGUUACAAUUGGUUACUGUACAAAUUAUGAAAGUUACCUCCCUUGCAUGGGAGAAAUGCAUAAAAGCAGACCUGUGAUUAAAGCUAUCAGUUGACUCCCAGACUACGUGUCGUCUAGUCCUUGGGGAGGUGGAUUAUGCUGUGUUCCUGUGAUUUUGUAUGCUGAAUCUUUGUUCCCAGUGGAGAGCCCUUGGAUUAACCCCUGCUCCUCCGCUACAAUGAGAUUAAAUUAUAUUUCGGAGAAAACACUACUCGUGCCACACCAAUUCCAACUAUAUGGUGGGCUUUCGACAGUGUCAUUCGAGGUUUUCCUAUUCAGUUUGGGUCAGAAAAGAAAGAGGGAUUAUCCAUUAAUCAAUUAUAUAUGCCAUUAUAUAAUUUGAACACAGAAAAUGAAAAAAUCAUACAAAAGAGAGAUGUAUAAAAAUAUUAAAUAUAAUGUAUAAUCUGGAUAAGAUCAAUGGAUAAGAUCAAUAACAUACUAGUUGCCAGAGUCAGCUAUGCCCUACAAAAACUAAACCAGAAUUGGUAUUACAAAGGCAACAAAGCUGAUAAAUGCUUACUAACAAAAUGAAAAAUCGAAAGGCUAGGGUGAGGGUUGAAAAAUUGGCUAUUGAUGGCCAUAUCUAUAGAACCCCUAAAUCUAUUGGCCAGGCCUUUAACAAUUUCUCCAAGCAGCCAGCUUCCAAUAUUGUCUGAUGAGCAGUGUGAGGAUAUUUAUGGGAUGAUAAAUAUUAAAAUUAAUAUUUUUAUAAAAAUUAUCAAAAACUAAUUAUACCAAAAAUGUAUGUAUUGGCACUGUUUCCCUUGAUUAAUUUAAAGCAAAGAGUUACCCAGUAUUUUAACUCUUAUAGACCCUGAAGUACAUUUUAGUAGAGAAUUUGCAUUUCACACAUUAAUCACAAACGAUUUAUAAAAAUAUAAUUUAUUGGGACAAAUAAUAUGUAACAUGCGUGACAAUAAUCAGUGAAUAUUUAGAUAUAACAUAAGUAUACAGUAUGGCAGCAGUUAUAACACAACUACAGAUCGCUCAAUAGCAACAUAUGUUUAAUUCUAAAGGAGUUACAUGCAUAAUUACAAAUACUUCCUCUAGAAUUCAGUCAACAGUUAUAUCCACAUCAAUGCAAUUUUAGCAAAAUUACAGGAAUCCUUCAAUUUAGGAAUUAUUUGACACGGAUCUCACAACAGCUUUGAAAUUCCUUUACACAGAACUUAUCAUACAGCAGCACAGCUUCCAGCCAUAACUUUUGCUGUGAGUUUGGAUCAUACUGAGUUAACUCACUCGCUGCUGGUGAUAAUUCUCACAUGAAAAACACCUUUAAUAUUGCAGCUAAAAAAAAUACAAUAUUUUUCACAAGAAAUCAGUUUAACUAUUCCUUUUCCAUUCAGUAAGCCAAAAGAAUAAUCCAACGAAAAAUUGACAUUGCCGGUGAUUAACGUUCCUGAUUAAAGAUUAACUAUCCCUAAAUUGAGAUAAGUCAAUAUCUCUGGAUAAUAUAGCACGAAAUACAGAUAAGAGUGUUAGACAAAAACACAGAUAAAAGUAGUUAGGCUAAAUGUUGCAAGGAAUCUGAGUAGGGAAAAAAUAGAGAAAGAACAGUAAAACUAGCUCUAAAGCUGGAAAGAGGAUCACCAGUCCUCUAUAGGUACAUAUAACAAUAAAUUUCACUUAUAAAAAAAAGAUGAAAAAAUAUCCAUGAGCUACAAUAUAUAUCCAACAAUGGAGAAUAUAGUUUACAUAAAAUACAUGACUGGGGAGUCCAAUAAAAUAGUAAAUCCACAGUAUAAAAAAAAAAAGUCCACAAUAGCGGUAGUUGAAAAGUCCACAAACACUUGACACGUAAAGCGGCACUGUCAUGCCGAACUUACCUUUUCCCAAUCGAUUCCUCUUCUCCCCUUCUCUCAGGAUCUGUUAUUCAUUUCUUCCUGUCUGCUCUAGUUUUCUUUAAAACAUAAGACAAAGUAGGGACUGCUUGCCUUAUGGAGGUUUCCUACGCCCGGCCAGCUAUGACCAGCAGAGGAGCAAAGUGUGCUUCAUUUCCGCUGGUCAGAGCAAUUUUCCCAUGAUCCUUAGCUUUCCUCCCUGUUCCCGCAAUGCUUCCUGUCAGUAUUGACGAACGUCCUGUCAUUUAGACAAAACGCCGGCAAAACUGCCGAAUUGCAGAAUGAGAACAGUUUCUCCAUUCGUGUUAGAACGCAAUUGGGACUUUGUUCGGAUCGCAAUUUCAUUCGAAUGAAUGAAACUCUGAUCCUAUUGGUGCUGCAGCCUGUGGCUGCUCACUGUUAAAAAAACAAACAAAAAAAGCCCCCACACCUCCCGAGCCCUCAACUGUGCCGCGCGAGAGGGGGCUAUUAAACUGAAGCUGGGACCUAGAGCCCCAGCCCCCACCCCUGAGUGGUGGGUGGUGGCCCUAAAGGACAAUGGGGGGACCUAUUGUCCUCCCACCCAGCCCCCACCCCUGCACGGUGGGUGGGGGCCCUGAAUGAGAAUGUGGGGGGCAACCUAUUUUCCUCCCCCCCGGCCCCCACCCCUAAGCAGCGGGUGGGGGCCCUAAAGAAUAAUGGGGGGACCUAUUGUCCUCCCCCUGGCCUCCACCCCUGCACAAUGGGUGGUGGCCCUAAAUGAGAAUGUGGAGGGGAACCUAUUUUCCGACCCCUCGGCCCCCACCCCUGAGUGGUGGGGGCCCUAAAGGAUAAUUGGGGUACCUAUUGUUCUCACCCCUGUCCCCAACCCCUCCGUGGCGGGUGUGGGUACUAAAUAACAAUAAGGGGGGGACACCUACUGUCCUCCCCUUAGGCUUUCACACUUUUCUAACCGCAGUCAAUCGGUACUUUAUUGCUAUAUCUGGGUGGCCGCCAUUCAGUAAGCGAACAUGUGGCGGCGGCCAUCUUACGCACGAACUCUCAGCAGUGUUUGGUCGUCGAGUGUCUGGAACUCAAAUCGGACACUCAAUUACCCGAACACCGCUGCGACCUCUAGAGCUCCGCAACUCCCGAACGGAGGGGCCAAUUAGCCCCUCGUUCGGUGAGUUCAACGUACCGAACAAGGGGAUUCAUACAAAUGCGUUGUUAAUAGUGGAUGGCAAAGAUUUAUGGAUGUUUUACCUCCUGAACGGAGACCGACCGCAGGGCCAAAACACAUGGAACCCUUUUCGGCUACCACCUCGUGUGCGGUUGGUCAAAUUGUUUAUUCCCCAAAUUACCGAACCCCUGGUCCGAUCUGGGUGAAUUUUGAGUAUGUUAGCUUCCCAGGUCAGGGCUACCAGGGGGUACCACUUAGACCCUUGUACCCCACAGUUUUGGGGUACAUCCAGAAACCGGAUAAAACUUUAACAGAGAUAAGUGGAUUAAGUGUCACACAGAGGGGAGGAUAUGUAUGGGAGGUAACUACUGUACCAUUGGCUACUGUCCCAAUUAUUGUAAAUCCCUCCCUUGUGCAACGGACCGUUUUGCCCACAAGCAGUUAAAAACCGUUUAGGCGAUCUUCCCCUUUCAGAUGCACAGACAGCUACUGCAGUCACCACUCUCCCGAACUGCAAACACACGAAUACUGGAAACAGCCGAAUAGGAAAAUCCAUGCUAAUAGGUUUACACUCCUAGCAGUCAAACUGGAACAUCAUACAAUAAAUCCUCCCCCAAUAAUGAGACGACACUUCACUUUGAGGGUUAAGCAGGAACUCACUUGUAAUGGCCACACACUGGCUUUUAUGCAAGUCCCCAUGCAAGGGGACAUCCCACAGGGUGGGACACAGUAAAACCAAUCGUUUACAGGAGAACCAUAAAACACACAUUUACAUCACAAUCCCUCCUCUCUGUCCUGGAGAUAAUUGUGAAGUAAUCCACUUAUCUCCCAGGACAGAGGCAAGACUCCAUUAACCACUUGGCAGUAACAAUACAAUAAAAGACAUAAAAUUACAUACAGUUACAUUUAUUCCAUAAAACAUAGACAUUCUACAUAUCCCCAGAUAGCUUAGAUCUGAGUGCACAUUACUACCGAAUGGCGCUCAGAUAACAUAAAUACAGUUCAAUCGCCAUAGAGUAGAACGUUGUCCAUGUCCAGGCGCCUCACCAUGGCUGUGUGGGUGACUGGUAAGCGGACUGGGUGCGUUGCUGAGUGGGCAGAGACCAGCGGUAGUCUGUCCUGGUGCCAGCACUACCACGGGAGUAGUCUGGUUGGAGUCUGGUUGCUGGAGGGGGAGACCGACUGUCUCCCCUUUGGCUAAACAGCCCUGUCGCUGGGGGGAAAAACCGACCGUCCCUAUACCCUGUGCUGUAAGUGCAGAGACCACGGUCCCAUCUGCACGGUUGUGGGGCUUCUCAUCUCCCCUUGGUGGGCUAGGCCGCCGCUGGGAAGUAUUCUCCCCUCCUGGUAGAAUACUCUGCCGCUGGGGAGCCGGACCGGCUGUCCGUACUCCCUGUAGCUUGGGCGCGUAGACCACAGUCCCAUCUGUGCCGGUGGGGAGCUAAAUGUCUCUCCUUGGUGGGAUACGCUGCCGCUGUGGAGAGGGGGCAACAAGCUCUUCUCCCUGACACUCUCCCUGCUGGGGGAGAGGGGAACCGACUGUCUCCCCUUUCAAUAUAUUGUCCUGCUGCUGGGUAGGGAGGACGGUACCUUCCGCUCCCUGGGACUCACUUGACUGCUGAGGAGAGGGACCAACUGUCUCAUCUCCUAAGAACACACACGGCCGCUGGGGAGGACGGACGACACCUUCAGCUCCCUGGGACACACACUACCGCUGGGGAGGAAGGACGACACCUUCAGCUCCCUGGGACACACACUGCCGCUGGGGAGGAAGGACAACACCUUCAGCUCCCUGUAAUACACACUGCUGCUGGGGAGGGAGGACGGCACCUUCAGCCAGGGCCAGCGCUACCAUAAGGCGGCACAAGCGGCCGCCUUAGGGCGCACGGACCCAAGGGGCGCAAAAAUGUCCGAGUGACUGGCGGGAGCACGGAGAACUCCGCUCCCGCCGGUCAAUUUCUGCAGCAAUCUAGUCAGCUGGCUGGGAAACGUGCAGCCACUGAGGGAAGGGGGCGGAACAGCGAGGAGCGACCGCGGCAACUCUCUUCCUGAGCUACAGGCCGCUGGGAUACGUGACAUCAUAUCCCGGCGGCCAACUGCUGUGGAGGAAAGCUACAACAGUGCAGCGGGACCUCUGUUUUGCAACUAUAAGAAACAGUAAGUGUGUGUGUAAGAGUUAGUGUGUGUGUGUAAGAGUUAGUGUGUGUGUGUGUGUGUAAGAGUUAGUGUGUGUGUGUGUGUAAGAGUUAGUGUGUGUGUAAGAGUUAGUGUGUGUGUGUGUAAGAGUUAGUGUGUCUGUUAGAGCCAGUGUGUGUGUGUGUUAGAGUUAGUGUGUGUGUGUGUGUUAAUGUGUAUGUGUUAGAGCCAGUGUGUGUAUGUAAGAGUUAGUGUGUGUGUUAAUGUGUGUGUGUGUUAGAGCCAGUGUGUGAAUGUAAGAGUUAGUGUGUGUGUGUUAAUGUGUGUGUGUUAGAGCCAGUGUGUGUAUGUAAGAGUUAGUGUGUGUGUUAGUGUGUGUAUGUAAGAGUUAGUGUGUGUGUUAGAGCCAGUGUGUGAAUGUAAGAGUUAGUGUGUGUGUGUGUGUGUGUGUUAAUGUGUGUGUGUUAGAGCCAGUGUGUGUAUGUAAGAGCUAGUGUGUGUGUGUAAGAGUUAGUGUGUGUGUGUGUCUAUAAACUGUGUGUGUGUAAGAGACUGUGUGAGUGUAAAGCAGUGUGUGUGUGUGUGUGAGAGAGACUGUGUGUGUGUGUUACAGCUAGUGAGUGUGUAUAAGCAGUGUGUGUAAGAGACUGUUUGUGUGUGUCUGUUAGAGCCGGUGAGUGUGUAUAAGCCGUCCAAGUGUGUAAGAGACUGUGUGCGUUAGAGCCAGUGUGUGUGUAUUAGCAGUGUGUGUGUGUGUGUAAUGGUCAGUGUGUGUGUGUUAUGGUCAGUGUGUGUGUGUGUAUGAGCGAGUGAGUGUGUGACGCAAGGGGGUAAAGAAAAGUAGGAUGAAGACACAAAACACGUAAAAAAUAAUGCCAGACAGGAUACAAUAUACAAAAAAGGAAAACAAAAGAAAAAGGUGGUAAGAUGCAAAGGGGCAAAAUAAUUGGUAAGAGGGGCAAAAGUGGGAAUAUUAGACAGACAGGUGAAGAUAAAUUUUGGGGGCAGCAAAAUGUGUCUUCGUCUGUGUAGGCAGAAGUCCUUGCACCGGCCCUGCCUUCAGCUCCCUGGGACACACACUGCUGCUGGGGAGGAAGGACGACACCUUCAGCUCCCUGGGACACACACUGCUGCUGGGGAGGAAGGACGGCACCUUCAGCUCCCUGGGACUCACUUAACUGCUGAGGAGAGGGACCAACUGUCUCUUCUCUUAAGAACACACAUUGCCGCUGGGGAGGAAGGACGGCACCUUCAGCUCCCUGGGACACACACUGCCGCUGGGGAGGAAGGACGGCACCUUCAGCUCCCUGGGACACACACUGCCGCUGGGGAGGAAGGACGACACCUUCAGCUCCCUGGGACACACAAGCGCCAAUCUCCUGAACUGCAAACCCACGAAUUCACCAACUCCCUCUCUAACAGCAUACAGUAAAUCCUCCCCCAAUAAUGAGACGACACUUCACUUUGAGGGUUAAGCAGGAACUGAUUUACUGGGGCUAACUGCCCGGCUUUUAUGCAGGUCUCCCACCUGGUGGACACUCCCCUAGGGGACCAAAUGGGAGACUGGGACACAAAGGGUAAAAGGACCAAUCACAGACUUACACAUUUCAACCAUCCCACAAUGCAUCACAAUCCCUCCUCUCUGCUCUGGAGAUAACUGGGAAGUAAUUCAAUUAUCUCCAAAGACAGAGGCAAAACUCCAUUAACCACAUGGCAGAAAACAAACAGUAAAAGACAUAAAAAAUUUUUUUAUUUUUUUUCAAUUCUUUAUUUUUAUCGUGCUUUGAGUAGAUAACAAGCAAGCUCGUGGUGCCCCAAUAGCAUUCCCCGAGCAUAUUUUUCAGACUUAACAAUUGGAACAAUGAACUUAUCAGCACAUUUUAUAGUGUUAAAAUAAUGUCGCUCAGAACAGGAUGUAAGCAAAAACAUGUUACAUUAGCAUAGGUUUUGAUCACAAGAGGUUUAAUAACAUGUCUAACUUAGUGAAAUCAAGCGAUAUCUGCACUCGAGUGUCGGUGGUGUAAGCUUUGCCCUCCUCCCCUGGGUGGGGUGGGGGGGGGAUGAUUUGUGCAUGGUUGACCUCUCGUGGUGAGCGGCAUAGCCCCUAACCAAGGCGGUAGCGGGGGGGGGUGUGUGCGCUUCAAUGAUUGGUCAUGUGUGGCUAGAUGCAACCGGACUAGGGUCAUAGAUGGCGCAGCUUCGUGAGUGUUUGGGUGUAGUGAGCCUGGUGUCUCUAUGCCCAGUGGGCCCAGGCGGAAAAUUGUGUCUUCUAAUGGGUGAUUCUACCGCAAGGGACAUAGACAUACGGCAUGAAGAAAGAAGAAAAAAAAAAAAAAGGUAAUAACACAAGAACAAGCAGAACUUUACAUCUCUACAACUUUGCAACUUUGCAGCCUAGGGCUGCCGGAUCAGUGAGUCCCUCCGUUAGGUUUGGACUGGGCUGGAGAUGUCCCUGCCAGUCAGGAAUCAGGUGGGCAAUCGGCUACAGUUCUUGGCACAAAUGGUACCACUCUGGAUGGGACCCAUCCGUGUGCGCGAUUUGAGUCCGUUGGUGCUACCAUUGCCUCUUGCAUGUCUAGAGCUGCAAGGAAUGCUGGGAUAUCAGUCCCCGUAGUUAGCCGUUGCGUGGACCCCUUGUACGAGACAAGGAGGGAUCGUGGUGUUCCCCACCUGUAGGGCACUCCUGCUGCCCGCAGUCGGGUGGUGACAGGGUUCAGGGAUUUUUGCCCUUGUAGUGUGGCCUUGGAUAAGUCCUGGUAGAAGGACAGUUGCGAGUCUUCAAAGGGCAGUGGAGUCUUGUUUCUUACCGCUGCCAUUAUUUGCCCCUUGUCUUGAGGUAGUGCGCAGCGGAGUAUGACGUCGCCUGGCGUUUUGGCGGUGGUUAAGGUAGACGUUGGUAUUCGAUAUAGCCCAGCGAUGGUUAUUUUUUUAGCCGUAGCAGGUGGCAGUACUGAAGCCAGCAGCCUUCUGAUGUAGUGUGGCAGUUCCUCUUGGGGGACCGUGGCCGGGAUGCCCCUUAUUUUUACGUGGUUGCGGCGGUACCUGUCCUCCUGCGCUGCCACCUGUAGUGUAAGGGCCUGUUGGGCUGCUUGUAGUUGGAGUAUAGAUGCCUGCAUGGUGGAGGUGUCUUGGCUUAGCUCCUUAAUAUUUGCUUCAGUUGCCUCCAUUCUGCCUGUUAGUUGAUGUAGGGAUGAUUUUAGGAUAGGCAGGUCCGCAGUGAGGAGGUUUUGAAUGUCCUGCAGCAUAGUGUACAGGGUUUGGAGGUCCUGUUUGGUUGCAGGUUCAGAGUUACCUGCUGAGGCUGUGGGCUGUUGCUGUGAGCUCUCUGCAGCUGAAGUGUUGCAGAUGCCUCUGUGUGGGGAGCCUCUGGUGAGGUUGGGCCUUCCGCGGCCGCCAUCUUGGCGGAGGUGUGCCGUUGGAGCAUAGCUCCUAUGUCCCUCUGUUCUGGAGCGUUACUGGGGGUACUCUUCUGAUUUCUACGCCCCAUUGCUGUGUUAGCAGGUGAUGUAAGGGUCGGCCACCACUCUGCUGUGUUUCCCGCGGGGUCCCCGCCCCAGAGAAACUCGAGGUCGCGGUUGGCGGGUGUGUGGUAGGCCCCGGUCCUGCGUCUUGCUUUUAGAUGCUUCGGAGAGUACUGGAAGGGCAUCUGGGGAUUCGGUGUGGUGUCCCCAGGCUGUAGCUGAUGCUUACGCCGUCGGAUGGCGGCUAGUCUCCAGGAUAUUGCCUAGAUUGUGAGUGCGAUCGACGGAGCUGGGAGAGAUCUAAAAUACAUAAAAUUACCUACAGUUACAUUCAGUAUAUGAAACAUAUACGUUCUACAUAUCCCCAGAUAGCUCAGGUCUGAGCGCACAUUAUUAAGCGAAUGGCGCUCAGACCACAUGAAUACAGUUUAAUCGCCAUGGAGCCAAAGUCUUUACACAGUCAGUUUCAUGCGAAUGGGCUCCAUGGGAUUCCUAUCUGGGGCACAACAUACUCAAACAAAUCAUAGUCCAAAGGCAGCAGGCGAGCAACUAGGCUUCUCCAGUGUACAGUGGUGAGGUUGGUUUCGCCACAGUGUAUGUAUCUGGGUGGCCGCCGUUCGGCAUACGAACACGUGGCGGCGGCUAUCUUACACACGAAAGACUCAGCUGUGUUUGGUCGUCGAGUGUCUGGAACUCAAAUCGGACACUGAAUUACCCGAACACCGCUGAAACCUCCAGGGCUCCGUAACUCCCGAACGGGAAGGCUAAUCAGCCCCCCCCGUUCAGUUAAAAUACCAAAAAAGGGUAUUCAUACGAAUGUAAUGUUAAUCGUGGAUGGCAGUUUUUUAUGUGUGUUUCACCUCCCGAACGGAGACCGACCGCAGGGCCAAAACACAUGGAACCCUUUUCGGAUACCACCUCGUGUGCGGUCGGUCAAAUUACACCCUCCACCUAACUCCCGAACCCGUGGUCCGAUCUGGGUGAAUUUUGGAUAUGUUAGUCACCCAGAUCAGGGCUACCAGGGGGUACCAAAAGUACUAGUGUAUCUGCUGAUCUUAGGGUACAUCCAGAACUUGGGGAAAACUACAGCAUGUGUAAUGGGAUUAAGUGUCACACUGAGGGGAGGAGAUGUGUGGGAGGUAACUGUUACACCAUUGGAUACUGUACUGAUUAAUGUGAAUCCCUCCCUUGCAUUGGAGAAUGCUUUAUAAGGAGGUUGUGUGGAUUAAAAGUCAGUUCUGCUCCUGAUGCUGUGUGUCGUCCAGUCAUUAAGAUCUGUAUGAGGAUAUUCGUGAAUUACCUUGCUUGCUGGAAUUAUUACUCUAUGGGAUUUUUUUAUCACUUGUUCCUGGGCCUCACUGGGAUCUUUAGUGGAGUUAACCUGUGGAAUACCAGGCCUCCGCUACAGCCCCCAACUAAAAGACCGCUCCACCUGGAUCCGUCCAGGCCUACUUCAACCACCUCGAGCAGCCGCUCACUGCUACCAAUCUGAGACACCAACGCCAUAUGGCUCGGCAAUUCCCAUAACUACUGUGGAACAAUGGGAAGUGUUACAUGAAGCAGAUCCCAUACAAGCGAAUGCAGAUAACCAUCAACAUCACAGACAAACGGUCUACCUAGAGGGGAAAGCAGUCCAAGGGCUCCGUGACUCGGGGGCCACCAUCACUCUGGUCAAAAGUCACUUUGUACCCGAUUGGGCCAAGACCAGCCGAACUGUGGCAGUCAGGGUAGCCGGGGGAGCAGUAUACCGGCUACCCACAGCCCGGGUACAUUUGCAUUGGGGAGUGGGGUUUGGGAAUGUGGAAGUGGGGUUAAUGCCACAACUGCCGGCGGAGGUUUUGCUGGGGAACGAUCUGGGCAAACUCACUUCUGCUUUUGAGCCCCAGGCACCAAAAACCGGAGAAGCACACCCAGUAGUUACUCGACAACAGGCCCGCAUCCACGACUACAACACACUCCCAGAGGUCCAGGUAAGAGAUCCUUCCCCUGCCUUAGAGUGUAUCCCCUGGGCUCCCCCUACCGAAUUUGCGGCCGAGGUUAUCACUGACCCCACAUUACAGGUCUAUAGAGACAAGGUCACCUCGGACCGACCUGGGGGGAGGGCGAAAGAUUUGUAUGGGAUAACCAGUUGCUGUAUAGGGAGUCUGACAAGCAGGUAGCUGGGUCAGACCCGAUUGUCAUGAGGCAGCUAGUCGUACCACAACGGUACUGAUCUGAAUUACUCCGGAUAGCGCACGAUAUCCCGCUAUCCGGACAUUUGGGGGUCAGUCCCACCUGUCACCGACUGACCCAAAGUUUCUUUUGGCUGGGAGUUAGCCAGGAAGUCCACAGGUACUGCAAUACUUGUGACAUGUGUCAACGGGUAGGGAAGAGAGGGGACCGGCGGAAGGCAAAACUGCACCCGCUACCCAUAAUUGAGGAGCCAUUCAGUAGAGUAGCUGUAGGUUUAAUAGGCCCCCUACAGAGACCCAGCCCUUCUGGUAAAAAGUAUAUUUUAACAGUAGUAGACUAUGCCACCCGAUAUCCAGAGGCGGUGGCUUUGACUAACAUCCAUGCAGAAACAGUGGCUGAGGCCCUGAUGCAGAUUUUCUACAGGAUGGGGUUACCCAGGGAGAUCAUCUCGGAUCAGGGCACCCAGUUCACUGCGGAAAUUACCCAACACCUCUGGAAAUUCUGUGACAUCAAGCCUAUAAUCAGUGCUCCAUAUCAUCCCCAGACCAAUGGGCUAUGCGAACGGUUCAAUGGAACAUUGAAACAAAUGCUCCGAACCUUCACGGACACACAUAGGGACUGGGGGCGAUUCCUGCCCCAUCUCCUAUUCGUGUACAGGGAGGUGCCGCAGAAAUCGACCAGGUUUUCCCCGUUUGAAUUACUAUUCGGGCGUCGGGUAAGAGGACCCCUCGACCUGAUUAGGGAGCACUGGGAGGGAGAUCGGAGCGCAGACAUAUGUGCUGGCGUUUCGACAUCGUCUGGAAGCAUUAACUAAGUCUGUAAGGGAGAACCUCCAGGCGGCUCAGACUCGCCAGCGCACAUGGUAUGAUCGGGGCGCCAGGGACCGUAGCUUCCAGGUUGGGCAGAAGAUUUAAAUUUUAAAACCUGUCCGACAUGAUAAGCUACAGGCCGCCUGGCAGGGCCCCUAUAAAGUGAUGGAGCAAAGAUGCGACACCACUUAUAUAAUUGGUUCCUGCGCCGAAACUGGAGGGCGACGCAUGAUCCAUGUGAACAUGAUGAAGCUCUACCAGCAAUGUUCAGAGGAGGUAACAACCAUUUGUGCCCCCUCCUCUGAGGAGUUCGCUAACCUGCCUCUCCCAGAUCUGCUGGGAGACGGUCGGCUGUCAGGGGAUCUAGGGGAGGUUACGCUGGGGGAUCGGUUGAGCCCACAGGAGCGUACCGAGGUACAACAGUUACUAAAGGAGAAACAGGAGACCUUCUCCAAUAUACCUGGGUACACCCCUCUUGCCACUCACUGGGUAGAAACCCCACGGCAGCUUCCCAUGCGCCAGACGCCUUACCGCAUCCCUGAAGCAGUAAGGGAGAGCAUGCGCAAGGAGAUCGAGGAGAUGCUCCAACUGGGGGUGAUUGAGCAGUCAGCCCCUGGGCCUCCCCUGUAGUCCUCGUACCCAAGCGGGACGGCACAAAAAGACAGUAUCUGACGCAUAUCCUAUGCCUCGAAUAGAUGAACUGUUAGACCGGAUGGCCAGAGGCCAAUUCCUCACGACCAUUGAUCUAUGUAAGGGGUAUUGGCAGAUCCCCCUAGCCCCGGACGCCAUCCCUAAGUCCGCCUUUGUCACCCCAUUCGGCUUAUACCAAUUUAAGGUGAUGCAGUUUGGGAUGAAAAACGCACCAGCCACCUUCCAGAGGAUGGUAGACCGGCUCCUAGAUGGGUUUCAGGAUUACACCUGUGCUUAUUUAGAUGACAUUGCUAUCUUUAGCAAUACCUGGCAGGAACAUCUGGCCCACAUUGGAGCGGUGUUAGAUAGAAUCCGAGAAGCCUGAUUAACCUUGAAACCAGCUAAAUACAAUAUAGGUAUGGCUGAGGUACAGUACCUCGGACACAGAGUAGGUUGCGGGAAGCAGAGGCCUGAACCCGCAAAAGUAGAGGCCGUAGCGCAAUGGCCAACCCCUAGGACAAAAACCCAAGUCCUGGCGUUUCUAGGGACCGCCGGGUAUUACAGGAAGUUUGUACCCAACUAUAGCGCCCUGGCCAAACCCCUUAAUGACCUUACCCGCAAAAACCUUCCCGGCCAAGUAACCUGGACCCGGAGUGUGAGUAGGCAUUCCAACAUCUGAAAAAUGCACUUAGCAAUGCCCCUGUCUUGGCAGCUCCCAAUCCAACUAAAUGUUUUCUUGUUCACACAGACGCUUCUAUGUUUGGAUUGGGGGCAGUAUUAAGCCAAGUCGGGGCCGAUGGCGGAGAACAUCCCGUAGCCUACAUCAGUCGGAAACUAUUACCUAGAGAAGUGAGCUAAGCCGCCAUCGAGAAGGAGUGCCUGGCUGUGGUGUGGGCCUUAAAGAAAUUGCAACCCUAUUUGUAUGGACAGUCCUUUUCACUGCUCACGGAUCACAACCCGUUGGUAUGGUUAAACCGGGUGGCAGGGGACAAUGCCCGGCAGUUUAGUUUGGCGCUGCAGCCGUUUGACUUUAACAUCCAGUACCGCCCGGGAAAACAGAAUGGCAACGCUGACGGGUUGUCCAGACAAACUGACCUUGAAAAAUGAUCUGUGAGCCACCCGGACAUCCCCAAGCCGAUCCGUGUUGGAUCAGAUUGUGUAUGCCGGCUUGUGGGCAAGGGGGAGCAGUGUAGCGGAUGGCACUGGACUGUCCUCCAAAAUUAUGCUUAAAAGACAAUUCGUGUGUUUUUGUUUUCCUGUAUAAUUAAAAUUGUAUGUAGAAUUCGUAUGUUUGUUUGGUAGUUUUCAUCCGUAUUUCAUACGAAUGAAAACGACAGAAUCAAUAGACCACCCCAGAGAGAAGUGUGUACCUCAUUAGGCUUUCACACUUCUCUAACCGCAGUCAAUCGGUACUUUAUUGCUAUAUCUGGGUGGCCGCCAUUCAGUAAGCGAACACGUGGCGGCGGCCAUCUUACGCACGAACUCUCAGCGGUGUUUGGUCGUCAAGUGUCUGGAACUCAAAUCGGACACUCAAUUACCCGAACACCGCUGAGACCUCCAGAACUCCGUAAUUCCCAAAUGGAGGGGCCAAUUAGCCCCUUGUUCGGUGAGUUCAACGUACCGAACAAGGGGAUUCAUACAAAUGCGUUGUUAAUAGUGGAUGGCAAAGAUUUAUGGAUGUUUUACCUCCCGAACGGAGACCGGCCGCAGGGCCAAAACACAUGGUACCCUUUUCGGCUACCUCCUCGUGUGUGGUCGGUCAAAUUGUUUAUUCCCCAUAACUCCCGAACCCCUGGUCCGAUCUGGGUGAAUUUUGAGUAUGUUAGCUUCCUAGGUCAGGGCUGCCAGGGGGUACCACUUAGACCACAGUUUUGGGGUACAUCCAGAAACUGGGUAAAACUGGAACAUAAGUGGAUUAAGUGUCACACUGAGGGGAGGAUAUGUAUGGGAGGUAACUACUGUACCAUUGGCUACUGUCCCAAUUAUUGUAAAUCCCUCCCUUGCAUGGGAGAAACCUUUAUAAGGAAACCAUGUGAUUAAAAGCGGAGUUCUGCUACUGAUGCUGUGUGUCGUCCAGUCAUUGGGAUUGAGGUUGGGAUAUUGUUGGAGUGUUUUGCCUGCUGGAAAUAUUACCUUCUGGAUUUAUAAUACUUGUUCCUGAGCCUUACUGGGAUCUAAAGUGGAGAUAAGCUGUGUAAGAGCAGCUCUCCGCUACAGGGGGGACCUACUGUCCUCCCCCACCCCCCACCCUUGCGCUGUGGGUGGGGGCCCUAAAUAACAAUGAGGGGGAACCUAUUGUCCUCCCUCGUGGCUUCCACCCAAAUAAGAAAUGAUCCUCUACCUACCCUCCUCACCCUAAAAAUAGUGAGGGGAGGAUAAAAUAACUAACUAACUGUGGGGAAGUUCUUUGGAGUUUCCCACGCUGUGUAAAAUGACACAGAGCACUCUGGAUGGAUUUCAAGGCAAAUAGGAGUGCUGGGUCAGUUGCCAUGGCAACUGGGAAACCGUGCAAACAGUGACGAGUGUGUUAACAAAAAAGUAGGUUUCCAUGAGGACUGGAAUGGAGCAGAAAGCCAGAACUUAUGAAAGUAAACCUAGAAAAACAGAAUGAUGUGUACAUAAGGUUGAUGUUGCAGGAGGGAUAAGCCAAAUGGCAAAUGGUUUAGGUAAACUAGAAAAAUGGUCACAGUUGUGGCAACUGACAUUUAAUGUGUAUAAGUGCAAGAUAAUGCAUCUUUGACGUAAAAACCCAAGGGCAGAGUACAGCAUAUUUGAUAGAGUUCUAACCUCAACAUAUGGGGAAAGGUUGUUAUGGGUGAUUAUUUCUGAUGACUUAAAGGUAGGCAGACAAUGUACUACAGCAGCAGGAAAUGCUAGCAGAAUGCUUGGUUGUAUAGGGAGAGGUAUUAGCAGUAGAAAGAGGGAAGUGCUCAAACCAUUGUACAGAGCGUUGUUGAGACCUCACUUGGAGUAUUGUACGCAGUACUGGAGACCAUAUCUCCAGAAGGAUAUUGAUACUUUAUAGAGAGUUCAGAGAAGGGCUACUAAACUGGGGGGGGAGGGGAUAUGAUAGAAACAUUUAAAUACAUAAAGGGAAUCAACACAGUAAACGAGGAGACUAUAUUUAAAAGAAGAAAAACUACCACAACAAGAGGACAGUCUUAAAGGAGCACUAUAGGGUCAGGAACACAAACAUGUAUUCCUGACCCUAUAGUGUUAAAACCAUCAUCUAGCCCCCAUGGACCUCUCAUGCCUCCCGAAAUAUAGAAAUCUUACUGUAUUCAAGCCUGAAGCUGUAACUCUGCAUGCUGUAAGACUCAGAAAAACAAGCAGUCUGCUGACAUCAUCAGAAGUGGUAGCCUGAUCCAGUCACAAUGCUUCCCCAUAGGAUUGGCUGAGACUGACAAGGAGGCAGAUCAGGCAGAGCCAGCAUGAUUCAAACACAGCCCUGGCCAAUCAGCAUCUCCUCAUAGAGAUGAAUUGAAUCAAUGAAUCUCUAUGAGGAAAGUUCAGUGUCUGCAUGCAGAGGGAGGAGACACUGAAUGUUUGGAUGCAUUUUAGGCAGCCAUGACCCAGGAAGGAUCUCUAACAGCCAUCUGAGGAGUGGCCAGUGAAGUUAUCACUAGGCUGUAAUGUAAAGACUGCAUUUUCUCUGAAAACACAGUGUUUACAGCAAAAAGCCUGACGGUAAUGAUUCUACUCACCAGAACAAAUUCAAUAAGCUAAAAUUAUUGUCCUAGUAGCAUAGAGCUAGAGAUAGUGCCUAAAUAUGCACAUAUAUAGAGACUAGGAGGGACAUCUAGUGGCAGGAAAGAGAAACACAGAAUACCCAGAACUAUUACAGGUGAUACUCAAAAAAAUUAGAAUAUUGUGCAAAAGUACAUUUAUUUCAGUAAUGCAACAUAAAAGGGGAAACUAAUAUAUGAGAUAGACGCAUUACAUGCAAAGCACGAUAGUUCAAGCCAUGAAUAUACUGGUUUUCUUUUCAAUAUCUACUGUAUCCACUUUAUAUUUAUUGUGUCUUUUUUAGUAAACUCAGGGCCAGCGCUUCCUAUAGGCGACUAGUGUCAGGACUCCCCCAUGUUGUUUGGGAAUUCCAGCCAGACCAGCAUUUAGCGAUCAGACCCCACCUAUGCUUGUGAUGUCAUCCAUUCCUGAGUUAAAAGGAAGCUGCUCCUGAUCUCAGGUGCUCAAUCAAUUUUGUUUGGUUUAUGUCUCUAGCAUUCUUGUUACUUUUUUGUCGCUUGAAAGGAGCUCCACUAUUUGAUUUCCUGUGUACUGAGCCCUCCGGCUUGAUCCUGACUAUGUUUUACUCAACUCUCCCUGACUGGAUACAGACGACAUUGGAUUCCUACCUUCUCUACAUACUACAGGGAACCAUAAUCCUCACUAUCUUGGAAAGGACUUCAAUGCUCAUCAUCCAAGGAUGCAAAGAUAAGUUCACCAGUUACUGGGAUUAAUAACAGGUUCUUCCCUAAAUGUUAUUUCAGAAGGAAAGGGAAUAUAAAGUCUGUUCUCUAUGAUUUCAUUUGUACCUUAUUAAGAACUUUUAUUUGCCAAGUGCCAUUUAUGUUAUUUCGUUAUUACUGAUGUCAAAGGAAAAUAAGACUUCAUACAGAAUCAAGUUAUAUUCAUUUGUGACUUCUAAAAACAUGGCUCCUAUGAUGCAUCCUUAAAGGGGGCGCCCUGCGAUGUGAGCGCGUCACCCCUCAUGCUGCAGCCGCCUUCAGGAGACACAGCUUGGGCUGGCGCAUCCUUAAGAUAUGAGUGAUCCGGCACAACGCAGUCACUCAGGAUAACGUGGCCUGGCGGCACGGGGGAGUGGAAAGUGAGAGACCACCAGGGCAGUGGUGGAGAGAGAGAGACCACCAGAGAGAAACCACCAUUGGAGGGGGGUUUGAGAGAGACCACCAAGGUGGUGGGGGGGAGAGACCACCAGAGAGAAACCACCAUUGGAGGAGGGGGGGUUAGAGAGAUACUUCGCGGUAGGCAAACAGAAGAUGGGGAAGAUACUUUUCCCAAUUCCUGCAGGACUCUGCGAAGGUUUUCGGGAUCAGUUUAAGUGUGACAUUAAACCGUUCAGAGUCCAUUGGUCUGGGGAUGGUAGGGGGCGCUGAAUAGGACUUUCACUCCGCAGCUCUGCCAUAGUUGCUGGGUAAGGAGAGCUGUGAACUGAGUCCCUCAAUCGGACAAGAUCUCCUGCGGAAAACCUACCCGGGAGAAUAUUUUAACUAGGACCUCGGCCACGGUCUCGGCCUCUAUAUUGGUGAGGGCUACCGCUUCCGGGUAUCUAGUGGCGUAGUCCACUACAGUUAGAAUGAAUCUCUUGCCAGACUGACUGGGUCGGCUGAGAGGUCCUAUUAGGUCCACUGCUACUCGGUGGAAGGGUUCUUCUAUAAUCGGUAAAGGGUGAAGUUUGGCUUUGUGGUGAUUACCUCUCUUCCCUAGUCUUUGACAUAUGUCACAUGUCCUACAAUAAUACUUCAGAUCUUGCGUAAUCCUAGGCCAGAAGAACGUUUGGGUCAAUCGGGCCCUCGUCUUUUUGACCCCUAGAUGUCCCGCUAGGGGAAUAUCAGGACUGAGUUUUAAUAACUCGGCUCGAAAUUUACGGGGUAUUACCAGUUGUCUUUUAGUGACCUGCGUGGCCCCGCGUCCCACCCCUUCAGUCACUCGGUACAACAAUCCCUUAUACCAUUCAAACUUUUCGUGGGGGUUAUCCCCCUUAGGUAUCUCUACGGCCUUUCUAUACCCUUCUACAGUGGGGUCUGUCCGCUGCUCUUGUUCAAACCCCUGUGGUGUAUCCCAGAUGGUGGUAGGGGGAUCUGGCAAAGGGGGGAUGUCAACUCCUACCUGAUUGUCCUCAGAGUGCAGCGGUGCUUCCAGUCGGGCUUGGGCUCGGGUGGUAACGGCGUAGGCUUCCACUGUAGUGUCCCGGGUUAGUUGAGAGGUUAAACAGCCGACGUCAUUUCCCAACAGGACCUCAGCUGGCAGUUCCUGCAUAAUGCCAACCUCCAACUGUUUGGACCCAGAACCCCAAUCGACCAGUACGUUGGCUGUAGGUAGCUUGUGUAUAGCACCCCCAGCCACCCUUACGGCUACGGUGCGAUCAUGUGGGGUUGUACUACCGUUAGAGUGGCCCCAGAGUCCCUCAGCGCUCGCGCCCCCACGCCAUUCACUGUAAUCCAUUGGCGGUGGUGGUCCCGGUUGUCUCCCCCAGCUUGCACUGGAUUGACCUCAUGCAACACACUCCACUGUUUUUCUUGGUUAGGUGUGCUUUCCGGCUGUACACAAUGGGUGGCUGACCUGGGAUGUUGUGGUGGUUGCCUUUCUCAGCUUCCUCUGUUUAAGCGAGGACACUGGUUCUUGUAAUGUCCUGGCUGUUUACAGUAAUGACACACUGCAGGGGGUCGAGGCGUUACUGCUGGACCUUGUGGUGGGUUACUUAUGGCGGUUCUAGGGACGGCAGGGGGUGCUGGCGCCGGGUAGUUGGGCCUAAACGUGGGUCUGCUUCCCCCCUGUUCCCUCCUCCUGUUGUCUUGAUAUUCAUCCGCUAGUCUGGCAGCUUCCUCCACAGUUUGGGGUUUUCUGUCCUUUACCCAAUCUUUGAUAUCCUCUGCAGUGUAAUUAAAAAAUUGUUCUAGCAGCAUAAGUUGUAAGGCAUCUUCCAGGGUAGUUGCUUGACAGCCCUGCAUCCAAUUACGGGCUGACCUGUGUAGCCGAAAAGCCCAUUCAGUGUGGGAAUCUCUCCCUGUCUCUCGAAGUUCCCGAAACUUUUUCCGGUAUGCCUCUGGGGUUAAAGCGUAUCUAUCCUUUUAUUUUCUCAUAAUUAUGCAUGUCCCCAUCCAGUACCGCCCUCAACGCCUCUGCUGCUCUUCCUGAUAGUUUGCUGCUCAGUACUGCAGCCCAUUUUGUGGAGUCUAAUCCCUCCAGCGCACAUUGACGUUCAAUGUCUUGUAAUCAUCAUUAAAACUUUUAAAUGCUGCAUAAUUUACCUUCUUUGGAAGAUCAUUGGCACUUACCGGGGAGUGUAGCAAAUCCCCCUGCUGUAGCGGUCUGUCUCGGUCCUCUCACUCUUUUUGUGAUUGUCUGGCUUGUGCCAUGACCUGCAGAACCGCUUCUGUUGAUGGAUUGGGUCCCAAUACACUGAGCAUCCAUUUGAUAUCUUUCUGCAUCUAAGUUUCUUCCUCAUGCUCCAUUUCUGUAUUGCUGGUUCCAUCGCUCUGUAUUAAUUCUGCAAUUAAUGUGGUUUUUGUCUUGUUACUUGCCACUACGCCUCGAGCUUCCAGUAAAUCCUUCAGCGUGGUUCUCUUAAGUAGCUGGUAUUGCUGAGCCAUUCAUUCCCUUGCUUGGUUCAGGGCGUCCAUUUGGAAUUCGAAUCCCUCCGCUUGCCACCAGUUGUAAGGAAACCAAGUGUAUUUAAACCUCAUUCGGUAGUUUCCUCCCAAACCACCAGAGCAUUAGUGAGUAUAGCCCUCUGUAUGGUACAUAAAGGAGACGAACCAUAUAGUAAUCCCAAUUGCUUCACAAGAUGAUUCCCUUAGUGAAACACACAAAUCCCCAAACAUCAGCCGAAGUCAAGAAGAAGGGUACAACUGAACUAACUUUUAAUGGGUGCACACAGGCUUUUAUGCAAAUCCCCAUGCAAGGGGACAUCCCUCAGGGAGGGACAAAGGUUAACCAAUCACAUACUGUAAAAAUAUAGGCUGUCUGCGCAGUAUAUGGGGGCUGUCUGCGCAGUAUAUGGGGGGCUGUCUGCGCAGUAUAUGGGGGGCUGUCUGUGCAGUAUAUGAGGGGCUGCCUGUGCAGUAUAUUAGGGGGGUCUGCGCUGUAUAUGGGGGAUCUGCGCAGUAUAUUGAGGGGGUCUGCACAGUAUAUGGGGGCUGUCUGUGCAGUAUAUGAGGGGCUGCCUGUGCAGUAUAUUAGGGGGGUCUGCGCUGUAUAUGGGGGAUCUGCACAGUAUAUUGAGGGGGUCUGUGCGCGCUGUAUAUGGGGGUUCUGCACAGUAUAUGGGGGGCUGUCUGCGCAGUAUAUGGGGGGCUGUCUGCGCAGUAUAUUAGGGGGGUCUGCGCUGUAUAUGGGGGGCUGCCUGUGUAGUAUAUUAGGGGGGUCUGCACUGUAUAUGGGGGAUCUGCAAAGUAUAUUGAGGGGGUCUGCGCGCGCUGUAUAUGGGGGGGUCUGCGCAGUAUAUGGGAGGCUGUCUGUGCAGUAUAUGCAGGGCUGUCUGUGCAGUAUAUUGGGGGGGGUCUGCGAAGUAUAAUGGGGGGUCUGCGCAGUAUAUUGGGGGUCUGUGAAGUAUAUUGGGGUGGCCUGUGUGUUAGAUGGAGGGGCUGUUCGUUACAUGUGAGGGGGCAGUGUAUUAUAUUUGGGGGCUGUGCGUUAUAUGGGGAGCUGUACAGUACUUGUGGCCUGUGUGUUAGAUGUGUACAACCCUAGUUUCACAGAAAAAUAUUUAUUUCCUAGAUAUCAAAUGCCAUGGCAUGCUUUUUGCUAUGAAACCGCAGCCAUCUAGUCACUCGCCAGAGAAGGAUGAGAAACUGCACCCCCACCCCAGCGAGAGGGACUGCCCCACAUCUGCAACCAAAUCCGUCGGUCACCAAAUUCAGUAAUCUCCGUCUCUUUGUGCAUUGUGUAUGUAUGGUACUCCCAAUUCUUAUAUUUAAUCCAGUGUGUCUCCCACAAUCUUUGUGUCUGUCUGCUGUAUGUAUGUGGCACGCAAGUCUGCACGCACUGUGUCUGUUAUGCCAGUUACUCUAACCAGUUUAUUUCUUUUUGUGUGUGUCACAGCUCUGACAAGCAUGUUCUCCUACGGGACACGAAGUACAUGAAGAGGAAUGAAGAAGCCCAUGUUUGAUGCUCGUCUCCAGGGUGGAGUAUUGAAUAUAUAAGUAAUGAAGUGGCAUCUGACACAUGACAAGCUGCUCCUGUUUGCACAGCACCUUCAACAUUGUGUACUGUGAUCACGGCAUAGUUCAGAGGUAGGUAACCUUGGGCAGUCCAGAUGCUGUGAAUUACAUCUCCCAUAAUGCUGGCAAACCAUUAUGGGAGGUGUAGUCCAAAACAUCUGGAAUACCAAAUGCGUAUGAAUGAAAAGUAUGGUGUGUGUGAAUGGUCAGUAACAAGGGUUGAAGCCUUGACGUGGCGUUACUGCUCACAUGUGUAUCCAUGUGCCAAUUCAAGCAAUGUGAG